GAUGAACGCUGGCGGCGCGCCUAACACAUGCAAGUCGAACGGUUAAAGCACCUUUUAGGUGUGUAUAAAGUGGCGAACGGCUGAGUAACACGUGGGCAACCUGCCCUCCUCUUGGGGAUAGCCUCGGGAAACCGAGGAUAAUACCCGAUACUUCAAUGUGGCCGCAUGACGACAUUGAGAAAGCUUUUGCGGAGAAGGAUGGGCCCGCGGCCUGUUAGCUUGUUGGUGGGGUAGAGGCCUACCAAGGCAAUGAUGGGUAGCUGGGUUGAGAGACCGACCAGCCAGAUUGGGACUGAGACACGGCCCAGACUCCGACGGGAGGCAGCAGUGGGGAAUCUUGCACAAUGGGCGAAAGCCUGAUGCAGCGACGCCGCGUGCGGGACGAAGGCCUUCGGGUUGUAAACCGCUUUCAGCAGGGACGAGGCGAUAAGUGACGGUACCUGCAGAAGAAGCCCCGGCUAACUACGUG
Molecule: ribosomal RNA, 469 nt
Filed under: uncultured bacterium
Lineage: Bacteria
Description: partial 16S ribosomal RNA
Rfam family: Bacterial small subunit ribosomal RNA
Source: RNAcentral